GCGGACGUGGCGGAAUUGGCAUACGCGCUGGGUUUAGGUUCCAGUGCCGCAAGGCUUGCGGGUUCGAGUCCCGCCGUCCGCA
Molecule: transfer RNA, 82 nt
Filed under: Planctomycetota bacterium
Lineage: Bacteria; Pseudomonadati; Planctomycetota
Description: Planctomycetes bacterium (activated sludge metagenome) tRNA-Leu
Rfam family: tRNA
About the family: Transfer RNA (tRNA) molecules are approximately 80 nucleotides in length. Their secondary structure includes four short double-helical elements and three loops (D, anti-codon, and T loops).
Source: RNAcentral